CUUUCUUUGCUGGCGACCGGCGCACGGGUGAGUAACACGUAUCCAACCUGCCCUUUACUCGGGGAUAGCCUUUCGAAAGAAAGAUUAAUACCCGAUAGCAUAAUGAUUCCGCAUGGUUUCAUUAUUAAAGGAUUCCGGUAAAGGAUGGGGAUGCGUUCCAUUAGGUUGUUGGUGAGGUAACGGCCCACCAAGCCUUCGAUGGAUAGGGGUUCUGAGAGGAAGGCCCCCACAUUGGAACUGAGACACGGUCCAA
This 253-nucleotide ribosomal RNA is filed under the name uncultured bacterium. RNAcentral describes it as "partial 16S ribosomal RNA". It matches the Rfam family "Bacterial small subunit ribosomal RNA", at positions 79 to 334 of the family's 1533-position model. The record is from RNAcentral.